Molecule: unclassified non-coding RNA, 331 nt
Filed under: Hevea brasiliensis (rubber tree)
Lineage: Eukaryota; Viridiplantae; Streptophyta; Magnoliopsida; Malpighiales; Euphorbiaceae
Source: RNAcentral
UCAUAUACAGUUGUACUAUCCAAGAUUCCCUUGGGAAAAGAAUGUAAUACUCUAGGAAGCUUAACAAACAAAAAGCCUCAGAUUCUAUUCGAAACUUGCUAAUUUGGAACCAGGAUCCAAGGGCCAUUAAGUAUGUGCAAACACAGCGCGAGGCAUACACUAACAGCAGUAGAUGAUUUCCCACUCACAUACCUGCAAGCUUCCGUGCUCUUAUCAACCACCUCCUCUUGUAUAACAUCUACACUUGUUCUCAGUGUCACCACUUCCUCCUGGACAACAUCUAUGCUUUUUCGCAUACACUCGUACAACUUUUCUAGCAGAAACUCCAAGA